CUUGGAGUGACGGGCCCGGUCACAGCUGCGACCCCCGCGACAUGUACGCCACUGUGUGUGUGUGUGUGUCUGUUUGUGUCUGUUAGUGACUGUGUGUAUUUCAGGGAGUGUGUCUGUUAGGGAGUGUGUCUGUUAGGGAGUGUGUUACUAUGUGUGUGCCUGUUAGUGAGAGUGUAUGCGUGUCUUUUAGUGAAUGUGUGUGUCUGCUAGUGACUGUAUGUGUCUGUUAGUGAGUGUGUAUGUCUGUUAGCUAGUGUAUGCGUAUCUGUCCGUGAAUGUGUGUGUGUGUAUUUAGAAGGCGGGGCAGGG
Pelobates cultripes (western spadefoot toad) is the source of this 309-nucleotide non-coding RNA. NCBI's taxonomy places the organism in Eukaryota, Metazoa, Chordata, Amphibia, Anura, Pelobatidae. The record is from the annotation of a GenBank genome assembly.